This 289-nucleotide ribosomal RNA is filed under the name Escherichia coli. Its description in RNAcentral is "partial 16S ribosomal RNA". It matches the Rfam family "Bacterial small subunit ribosomal RNA", at positions 80 to 369 of the family's 1533-position model. RNAcentral also lists the same sequence under 1 other name. The record is from RNAcentral. Lineage: Bacteria; Pseudomonadati; Pseudomonadota; Gammaproteobacteria; Enterobacterales; Enterobacteriaceae.
UUGCUGCUUCGCUGACGAGUGGCGGACGGGUGAGUAAUGUCUGGGAAACUGCCUGAUGGAGGGGGAUAACUACUGGAAACGGUAGCUAAUACCGCAUAACGUCGCAAGACCAAAGAGGGGGACCUUCGGGCCUCUUGCCAUCGGAUGUGCCCAGAUGGGAUUAGCUUGUUGGUGGGGUAACGGCUCACCAAGGCGACGAUCCCUAGCUGGUCUGAGAGGAUGACCAGCCACACUGGAACUGAGACACGGUCCAGACUCCUACGGGAGGCAGCAGUGGGGAAUAUUGCAC